Phyllostomus discolor (pale spear-nosed bat) is the source of this 404-nucleotide long non-coding RNA. RefSeq lists it as uncharacterized. NCBI's taxonomy places the organism in Eukaryota, Metazoa, Chordata, Mammalia, Chiroptera, Phyllostomidae. The transcript has 2 exons. The record is from RefSeq and is a predicted model, not a curated record.
UGGCGGGUGGCCGGCGGUGAUGACGUUUAUAUCAAAGCACGUGUUAGACUGCUGACAAGGGUGAUGCGAACUGGAGUCUGAGCCUGGCCGCCGUGGUGGCGAGAAGGGGACGUACCAGCGGGGGCACAUCCGCUUAUCCGCUGCUUUUGUUCUUGCAGAUCCCAGCCGGCCGAGCACAACGAAUCUCGUCCUCCCAGCCUUAACACUCUCAAUAAAAUGGAUGAGGGUCCUCAGAGGAGGACCCUGACGCACAGGAAGCAGAGCCCCUGUUCUCGACCUAGAGCUUUCAGCCUCACUGUGAAACACUAGAUGACACUGCGGCUUUACCUGAAACUCCUGCUCCAGUUUCUUCUCUAUCCAGUCUGUCACAUGAACUAAAGUCACCUCUCUCUCUCCAAGUUUUG